This is a long non-coding RNA of Pseudophryne corroboree (corroboree frog), 695 nucleotides long. RefSeq lists it as uncharacterized. The transcript is spliced from 3 exons. Lineage: Eukaryota; Metazoa; Chordata; Amphibia; Anura; Myobatrachidae. The record is from RefSeq and is a predicted model, not a curated record.
CCGAAAGAAGAAGGGGCUGCCAACCACAACCUCCCUCACCCACUCAACCUACCUUUGCCCCUCAACUUCCCGCCCCCAUUCAACCACCCUCUCCCCCUCAACCUCCCGCCCCCGUUAAACCACCCUCUCCCCCUCAACCUCCCACCCCCAUUCAACCACCCACUCCCCCUUAACCUCCCGCCUCCAUUCGUUCCUUCCCCCAUCCAAGAAGCAACCCACGGUGAGGAAGAGAGGAGGAGUAUGGGCCUAUGGAGGAGUAUGCUGAGUUUGGAGUUCGCAAUGCGGACAUACUGCCAAGAUCCCCCGGUGGUGAUGAAGAGGAGGAGAAGUAUGGCACUAUGGAGGAGAGUCUGCAGGAUACAUUUGUAUUAAAUUACACAUUUCUGAGCACACAACCAGCAGCCAGCGAAAACAGGUUGGGAUAGAGACAAUUACUGCAUGCACCAAAUAUUUGGGAGAGUGAGAGAUUUCCCAGACUAGACACAUUAACCGUUUCUCCCCUGGCAGGCGUGUAACAUGACAGUGUGAUGGGAUCUUGCCUCUUAAUUUAACAAAUGUGUUCUCCUGUCCUAUGAAUAUGUUGUGACAAUGAGAGUACUCCUAUUCUGUUAUUUUCAUUGUGUCUAAUUAUGGAACCACCCUCCAUAAACAUGAGCUUUCUGUUAUUAUCAUACUUGAUUCUUAUGUUGUUAUGU